RNAcentral lists this long non-coding RNA (748 nucleotides) under Fragaria vesca (wild strawberry). Its description in RNAcentral is "long non-coding RNA (FVES_LNC001838)". The record is from RNAcentral. Lineage: Eukaryota; Viridiplantae; Streptophyta; Magnoliopsida; Rosales; Rosaceae.
UAUAGUGAAUACAACCCAAAUUUCGCAGAGAAAAUAUCUCCCCUACCCAUCAAACUAUGACGGCUUCUUCUGGUGUGGACAGGUACCUCUCUUGAUUUUCUUGCAACAUUCUGUUGAUCAUGAAUUCGAUCUGGGUUGUUCCCAUUUUUUACAAUUGUAAUUGCAUUAACACAAAAUGGAAAAAGAAACAGCUAGACUGCUUAGUGUUGUAUUACUGUGAUCUUUUCUAGCAUUUUAGAAUUUCAUUUGAUAUGUAUUUCAUGUCUUGGAUGAAUUUGUACUAUCAAAGGCUUGUUCUUUAAGCCUCUGGAAGUAUCAUUUCCUAACGUAAUUUGUUUGUUAUUGUUCAGUUAGAAAUAAUCUACUUUUCUUAAUGAAUUUGAUCAAUUGCUGAACUAUAAUAUAUGCAUAUGUAUAUCUAAGCUUGUUUACGCACUUUGAAAUCAAGCACUUUAAUAGGCAGACUCUUGAGUGGUUGGAUUUUGGUUAGAAUUGCAGAGGAUGAGGUGCAUUCAGUCCAACUUUACUACACUGGUCAUAUUAAAGGGUUGGAUUUUUAAAUUCAGUGGUAUAGAGCUUGAUAUGGUCUCGGCUUGAUGAAGUACUUGAGCAUGGUUGAUCAGUCCAUAUUGAUCAGGACUCUCCAUGAUUUUUCUUGCAUGAAGCUCGUAGGGAUCAAAUCAGUGGAACAUAGUAGAAGUAAUUACAUGGUAGAAACAACUAAUGUUAAUUAUUGGUGCCCGUGUAG